AGUUUUUGUUAGUGAAAGCUGGCAAGAUAUAAGGCGCGGAAUAGGGCCACAGAGACGAGCGUAUUAAGUUACGGUGAAACGCGGUAACCUCCAUCUGCAGCAAGACCAAAUAGGCUGGUAUUGACGUGGCUCGCGUUGCCAGCGGGUAGGUUGCUUGAGCGCAUGAGUAAUUGUGCGCCUAGAUGAAUGACUGUCACGCAUAGCAAUAUGCGACAGAACCCGGCUUAUCGGCCAGCUUCACUA
RNAcentral lists this RNase P RNA (243 nucleotides) under Betaproteobacteria bacterium HGW-Betaproteobacteria-20. RNAcentral's name for it is "partial RNase P RNA component class A". It matches the Rfam family "Bacterial RNase P class A", at positions 69 to 367 of the family's 367-position model. From Rfam's summary of the family: Ribonuclease P (RNase P) is a ubiquitous endoribonuclease, found in archaea, bacteria and eukarya as well as chloroplasts and mitochondria. Its best characterised activity is the generation of mature 5'-ends of tRNAs by cleaving the 5'-leader elements of precursor-tRNAs. Lineage: Bacteria; Pseudomonadati; Pseudomonadota; Betaproteobacteria. The record is from RNAcentral.